AGAGGUUCAGGGAAAUAUCGUCGCUCCAUUGAUAUAUCAGGCCAGAAGUAGGCGGUGGGGCAAAAAUUUUGCUCGUUCCAUAACCCACCUAUUCCCUUCCUCUCUGAUUAUUCGAUUAUCCACCAAACUGAAUAGCUCGUGUUCACAGCUUUCUAUCUCACUAGUUUUUUGGAGGAAACUACUUAUUGAUCUUAUUUCUAAAAGAUUUGGAAUUCAGAGACCUUAUUCACUGCUUGAGGUAUUCUUUUAAACCUUUGCCACUUUUUCAUUUUUUUUUUCCUCAAAGCUUUUGUGGUACUUGCAGAUUAUGUCUAUACUUGGAUGAAAAAUACAUGAGGCUUUGAUGUACAAUAUGUCAAAAAUCGCAAGCAAUUGAUAGAUAGUAUUCAAUUUCUGGUUUCUUUAUAUAUUUGGCUUGCAGAUUUUUCUUGCUUAGCGACCAAGCAUUCUGGUACUUGUGCUUCAAACUUUACUGUUGUUGCAACUUUGGUUAAAUAAUUUUACUACUUAACUAAUUUUUACAAACUUAAGACAUCAAUUCAAUGGUUUUGUAAGCGAGAGGUCCGGGGUUCAAAACUUCCCACUUAUACCAAAAAAAAAUAAGAUAUAAUUAAGUUAUAUGUAACUAAUAAUUUACAUAUCAUAUAUAUGUGUAUAUAUAUAUAUAUUAGUAGAUGAUAUUCGACAAGUUUCCGGUUUAUAUCAUGGACUUUGUCGAAUUCUACAUAUUUAGUCAAACAAUUAUAACAUAAGAGACUAAAUUAACGAGUUUUCUUAAAACUAUGAUAUGAUAGGCCAACUAUAUCCCUAAAUGCUGAAGACAAGUGCUAAUCACACUCUCUCUGUUUGGAUUUGACUGUUUUUCAAAAACUAGUUUUUCAUUUCAAAAGUACUCUAAAAAAUAGUCUAAAAUUUUUUUAAUGUUUAAAAAAUAUCCCAAAAUAUAUUUUAAAAACUCUUCUACUCUUAAAUAUCCCAAAAUAUACUAUAAAAACUCUGUUAUAGUAAAAUUUUUCAAAAACACCCUCAAAACAGCUAAUCCAAAUGGAUGAGAUCCAAACAGAGAUGUAUGCAUCCGAACAAAGAUGUAUGCAUCCAACAGCACCUCUUUUUAUAUGCCUCCAACAGCUCAAUUGGCAUCACUAUGAAUCCCCAGCACUUAACCUGAGAGAGAAAUUGCCUUCAUACUCAUUACAAAGGAUGAGUUUCAAAUACCACUAAUCUAAAUAUAAGUCACCUUUCCUGGUACACAACAGGGUAUUUUAUUAAAUCGUAAUAAAAACCAUCAAUUUCACAUCAGAAUGCACAUAAAUGAUAGAAAGAAGAAAACCACAAGCAACCAGUAAUAGAAUAAAGCUGCAAGCAUAUUACUCUAAGCCAACAAGAGCUCAUCUUCAUAUUCAUGAAUAACGAAAUUUGCUCCCUUUUUUCCUUAGCACAUCAACACCCAACAAACCUACCAAAAAUCAUCUCGAACACAAAUUAUCCUAAUUAAGGGAGGAAAAAAGUCCAAGAAAUAUUGCCAAUGAAAUAUUCUCAACUCAGGAUAGAUCUGACAAAAACACAUACAAAUCAUAAAUUCAAUCAAUCAGAGACAUAGAAAGAAAGACCAGAACCGUACAAGACAUACCAACAUCAAGAAAACGUAUGAACAAAAUAAAUCAGCCACAGAACAGUUUAGAAAAAUAAAGGAUACAUACCUUUUAGAUGAUAAAACAAGUCUAACCAAUUCAACCAUGAUCAGAUCAACUAAAAAUUGCCAUUCAUCUAAUUAUAUUUAUUUUCUCUUGCAUAUUUUGCUAUUGUUUUUAGAUUUAGGAUUUUUCUUGCAUAUUUUGCUUUUUUCCCCCUUGAUUUAGGUUGCAGGUUGAAAGAGAGAUAAAAAAAAAAGAAGUGGCUGCAGAGGCAUUAUGAUUAAGAUUAGGUUGAACGUAGGAGAAGUACUGUUUGACUUGGAACGUUCUCAAGUACAGUUUUACCCAUGUUUGACCACAGAGGUAUUGUUGAUACAAAAGGUUGUUUCCGAGAUUUCAUCCUGCAACAGCUUUCUGUUUUAAUUAUGGGGUCCCACAUUAAUUCAAGGAUGAAUAAGAGGUAACCUUCUAAUUUAAUUCUCUUACCGUUAUUGAAAAUACAUAUGAUUCAUUGAGGAAGUUUUAAAUUAGAAUUCAAAGGUAACCUUCUAAUUUAAUUCUCUUACCGUGAUUGUAAUUCAAUAUGAUUCUUGUGUUUGCAAAUCAAUACGAUUCUUCUCCUGUAUUUGCCAAAUGCGAGAUUACACAUUCAGAGUAUUUGCCCAAUGCGAUUACGUAUCAGAGUAUUUGCCCAUGUAAUCUUGAAUUAGAAGUGCACCUUUUGAAUCCAAAUGACUUGUGAUAAGCUCUAUCUUUAUUAUUCUUAGUUUAAUUGAUAUCACGAAUAGUCCCAAUGAUUUCUCAAAACUUUCUGAUGUAUUUGUGUUUUCAGAGUAACUUUGAAAAUGCCGAAGUUUCAUACCGUUUCUAGGAAACCAAAAAGGUGUGAUAGAGACCAAAAAAAUCGCAUUUGCCUGCAGCCACUGCAACCAAGAGUAUGCGAUCUCUUUGACUGAGGCGGUAGAACACACCAAGAAGUGUAAAAUGGUGGGGCAAAUCGUAUAGUAACUUAGCCAAAGAAACCUCAGAAUCAAUUGCUAAAACUAAGCAAUUAUUGUCCUCUUAAUAAUAGGAGAAAGCUGCUACAACUAGGGCUGCCGCUGCUCAGGAACGAGCUUGUGCACAUAGAGGGCAACAGCAGCAACAACAGGCCCCGGUCGUGUGACAACAACAGCAGCAAGCAGCCAUUGUGAAUGGUGAUCUUUGCCUUGAACUACUACUUUGACACAGGUCUAAUCAGUCAGACAUUAGACUUACAUUCUUACCUAUUUUAGUUAAUGCCUGGGACAGCUUUCACACAAACUCACAAGAGUGUUUACUCUUGUAAGUUGAAAUCAGAUGCUGAAUUUCAAAUAUAUCAACUCUAAGAAAGAAUAGUUUAGGCAAAAUGUAUACCUUUGCUCUGAUUUUGGAUAUUCCCUCACUGAGCAAAGAAUAGAUCAACAUUACUUCUAGUCAGAUACAUAUCCAGAAAAGAUCAACUUUGUCAUGCCCCAAAUUUGUGAUAAAUAAUAUUUUAAUAAUAAAAGCAUGUACAGAUAUUAA
RNAcentral lists this long non-coding RNA (3179 nucleotides) under Coffea arabica (coffee). Its description in RNAcentral is "long non-coding RNA (CARA_LNC006950)". Lineage: Eukaryota; Viridiplantae; Streptophyta; Magnoliopsida; Gentianales; Rubiaceae. The record is from RNAcentral.